RNAcentral lists this ribosomal RNA (492 nucleotides) under uncultured bacterium. Its description in RNAcentral is "partial 16S ribosomal RNA". It matches the Rfam family "Bacterial small subunit ribosomal RNA", at positions 29 to 507 of the family's 1533-position model. The record is from RNAcentral.
AGUGAACGCUGGCGGUAGGCCUAACACAUGCAAGUCGAACGGCAGCACAGUAAGAGCUUGCUCUUACGGGUGGCGAGUGGCGGACGGGUGAGGAAUACAUCGGAAUCUACUUUUUCGUGGGGGAUAACGGAGGGAAACUUACGCUAAUACCGCAUACGACCUACGGGUGAAAGCAGGGGAUCUUCGGACCUUGCGCGAUUGAAUGAGCCGAUGUCGGAUUAGCUAGUUGGCGGGGUAAAGGCCCACCAAGGCGACGAUCCGUAGCUGGUCUGAGAGGAUGAUCAGCCACACUGGAACUGAGACACGGUCCAGACUCCUACGGGGGGCAGCAGUGGGGAAUAUUGGACAAUGGGCGCAAGCCUGAUCCAGCCAUACCGCGUGGGUGAAGAAGGCCUUCGGGUUGUAAAGCCCUUUUGUUGGGAAAGAAAAGCAGCAGGUUAAUACCCCGCUGUUCUGACGGUACCCAAAGAAUAAGCACCGGCUAACUUCGUG